RNAcentral lists this long non-coding RNA (458 nucleotides) under Manihot esculenta (cassava). RNAcentral's name for it is "long non-coding RNA (MESC_LNC003794)". The record is from RNAcentral. Lineage: Eukaryota; Viridiplantae; Streptophyta; Magnoliopsida; Malpighiales; Euphorbiaceae.
UCCUACCUGGGCUUCUAGUUAUCGUUAUAAGUACGCAGUAGAUAGGGAAAAACCAACAGGGAGAUUCUUAGAGCCAAGAUCAUUAUGGCAAGGUAAAUUUAACUUCUUUCUCAAGAAAAUUUGUUCAACAUGCAAUUUCAAAUAUUAUUUAAUUUAAUUUCUUCUGCAGUUUGAUGAUGAAGUUGCUAUUCUUAUGCUUAAUUGCUGCUGGAUCAAUCUCAUUUUCUCUUGGAGCUGAGGCUGAACAACUGACUUCAGAAGGGAGAAGUAAAGAGAAAAAUAUCCAUCCGAUCCUUCACAUGCCUGCAGAAAUUGAUAAUCUUCAAUCACCAUUAAUCUUCAGACAAGGUGAUGGAAAGUUUAGAAAGAUUGUAAGGAAAUUGAUAGGUGUUGAGCUCCCUUCUUCUCCUCCCUCUGGUCAAUAUUGGUAUGCAUGGGUAAACUGACUAGUGUUGAUU